CAAAUCCAAGCCCAUUUAUUCCAAUAAAUCACAAUCAAAUCAAACCAAACUAAACAAAUUCUAAUCAUGCCGUCUAAUUUUUUUCCGAUAACAAAAAUCAUUAACAAAACCAAAAAAGCAAAUCGGAGGUGUAAUUAAGGUCGGUGAUGACGAAACAGAGGUGGUGUGGGAAGGGACGUCAACGACACCGCAUCAAAUAAGCAAAUCGGAGCUCAGAUAUGCAAUCUCAUAUCCUGACGGAUUCAAAUUGGAGCUCAGAUGCAAUCUCAGAUCUCGGCGGUAGGAACGAGGUCGAAGCCGCCAGAAGAGGUUGGAGUUGCCUUCGAAGGCGGAGACGAAGAUUCAACUUACAGGUAGAUAAAGCUAAAGUGGUUGCGGUCUGGUGAUGAGGAAGACGGUGCCGAUGAAUCUCAGGUCGUUGAGAGCUCUUUGCGCUCUCGAUCUCGUCCUUUGAAGCUUCGUCUUCAGCCUCCUCACCUCACGUCGAUGCGGCGACGGGUUUGCCGUUUGGAUUCGAAGAUCUGAGGUCGAACUACUCCAGCUCGUCUCCGUUCGGGCCAGCUCCGGUUGAGAAAGGUAAUGGAGAACGGAAUCGACGACGGAGUUGUCGCAUCCGACGGUCUUGUGCUGCCGGAGCCGAACGAGAUGGUGAGGAAGGAUGCUGCCGGAGCUGAGCAAGAUCGUGAGGAUGGGUUUUCUCGCCGGGGGGAGAGAGAGAGAGAGUGAUUUUUUUUUCGUUUUUGCAAUAGAGAGAAUGAAUGGAUGCAGUUGGUUUUCUUUUAUGAAGGGUAAAAUCGUCACAAACAAAAUAAUAUGUGGAUGCAGAUGGCCUUAUUUGUACAAAAAAAUGCAGGUGGCUUUAUGACUAAUAUAAGUCUCAAAAUGACACUUACGUGUAAUUUUCUAUAAAAUCAAUAGAAAAUUACAUAUAAGUGUCAUUUUGAGACUUAUAUUAGCCAUAAGGCCACUUAAUUUUUCUUGUGUUACAUAAGGCCACUUACAUUCACAAAUUAUUUUUUUCAUGACAAUUUUACCCUUCUGCCUAACAAACCCAAUUGCAUCGGUCUUUCCGUCUUACAUCAAUCACAGAUCUCUCUCUCUCUCUCUCUCUCUCUCUGUAGCGACCUUCUUGCUCUUCUCUAGCGGUGAAGACGUCGGUGACACUGUUUGGACGAGGCGGCAGGCCAGGCUUCUCUCUCUCCUCCCAAUUUUAACGAGAAAGCUCCCCUUCUGUUUCUCUGCUGCUCUAAUUUGAGCACCACCGCCUUCACGUCGAUGUCUCCGCCUCCGAUUCCGGCGACCACCGGCACAACGCUAUCAGACCUUGCACCGCCAUCUGCACCUUCAAUUUUCCAGAAAAUAAAGCUUAUCAAAAAAUUACAAACCGGACGAAAACGUUGGGAAGUCUGCGGCUGCAGUCCGAUCGCUAUUUGAUGAUCGUGAUCGGAGGGGUGAAAGGAGAAUCACAACGAUGAUAAAGUUUCACGACAAGGCGAGGCAGCCCAGGCAUCGAUGACAUCGUCUAGGGCUCAAUUGUCGACUCCUUCGCUCAUUCUUUCAUUCUCCACUAACGCUCGCCGGAUUUCAUUCUCGGCUGCUUUCGAUGGAUGGCAGUAGUAAUAAUAACGACUGUGGAUGGCAGAAGGCGACCUAUGCAACGGGCCAGAGGAAGAACAAGGUCACGGAUUCCAUCAACAAUCAUAAUAGGCUCGUUCCGGCGCUAUGAUCUCCAGCGGAGAGCGUUUUCUGAGGUGUGGAGAACGAGGUGGAGGAGCGAGUUCGGAGCCGGUAGGAAGCUGAUAAGGCGAAGACGGUAUUUUCGAUUUUUCCAUCAUUUUACAAUUGAAUUCUUCCCCUUUGCAUUUGUAGAGUAGAUUUCGAAAAUCAUGUGAAUUUGGAUAUUGAAGCCUCCACUGACCAAGAGAUCAUUCAGCUAACUAAGAAAUGCUGAAAUGAAGUCUCGUGCUGAAGGUGGCAAAAUUAUGCCUAUGGGUUUAGAGUGUUAGCAUUGAAAAAUGACAGUAGCAUUACAACAUUGACAGUAGCUUUAUUCAACUAUUGUAAUAAAUUUUCAUAACUAUGGUAGUGACUUUUUACAAUUACAAAAGUAGCUUUUUACAUAAUUAUAUCAUCGUUGAACCCUGUAUACUUUUUGUAUCAUCUAAUAUGUUUUAUUUUCUCUA
Rosa rugosa (rugosa rose) is the source of this 2183-nucleotide long non-coding RNA. RefSeq lists it as uncharacterized. The transcript is spliced from 2 exons. The record is from RefSeq and is a predicted model, not a curated record. Lineage: Eukaryota; Viridiplantae; Streptophyta; Magnoliopsida; Rosales; Rosaceae.